ACGGUCCUAAGGUAGCGAAAUUCCUUGUCGGGUAAGUUCCGACCCGCACGAAAGGUGUAACGACUUGGGCACUGUCUCAACGAGGGACCCGGUGAAAUUGAAGUACCUGUGAAGAUGCAGGUUACCCGCGACUGGACAGAAAGACCCCAUGGAGCUUUACUGUAACCUGAGAUUGGAUUCCGGUAAGAGAUGUACAGGAUAGUUGGGAGGCUGAGAAGUGAGUACGCCAGUAUUCACGGAGCCGCUGGUGGGAUACCAACCUUGUUUUAUUGGAAUUCUAACGAGAAGCGUAACGAGCUUGCGGACAGUCUCAGGCGGGCAGUUUGACUGGGGCGGUCGCCUCCGAAAGAGUAACGGAGGCGCCCAAAGGUUCCCUCAGCGCGGACGGAAACCGCGCGAAGAGUGCAAAGGCAGAAGGGAGCUUGACUGCGAGACGGACAGGUCGAGCAGGGACGAAAGUCGGGCUUAGUGAUCCGGUGGUUCCGAGUGGAAGGGCCAUCGCUCAACGGAUAAAAGCUACCCUGGGGAUAACAGGCUAAUCUCUCCCAAGAGUCCAUAUCGACGGGGAGGUUUGGCACCUCGAUGUCGGCUCAUCACAUCCUGGGGCUGAAGUAGGUCCCAAGGGUUGGGCUGUUCGCCCAUUAAAGUGGUACGCGAGCUGGGUUCAGAACGUCGUGAGACAGUUCGGUCCCUAUCCAUCGCGGGCGUAAGAAACUUGAAAGGGGCUGCUCCUAGUACGAGAGGACCGGAGUGGACCGACCAAUGGUGUACCAGUCAUGGCGCCAGCCGUGCAGCUGGGUAGCUACGUCGGGGACGGAUAAACGCUGAAAGCAUCUAAGCGUGAAACCAGCCUAGAGAUGAGGUUUCUCAUUACAUUAGUAAGUAAGGUCCCACAAAGACGAUGUGGUUGAUAGGCCGGGAGUGGAAGUACAGCGAUGUACGGAGCGGACCGGUACUAAUAGACCGAGGACUUGACUUA
RNAcentral lists this ribosomal RNA (979 nucleotides) under human gut metagenome. Its description in RNAcentral is "bacterial LSU rRNA". It matches the Rfam family "Bacterial large subunit ribosomal RNA", at positions 1945 to 2925 of the family's 2925-position model. The record is from RNAcentral.